ACGCACUCUGUAUAAAUAGAAAACAACACCAAAAGUAUUGAUAAAAGUAGUAAUUCCCUUACUAUCUACAAAUGAAAACAUUUCACUUCCUGUAGUGAAUGAGUAUACAGGAUGAUUAUGAUUUGUUCAAAAUAAAUCAGCCAUUGAUGAAAUCUAUUCAGAUUGGACAAUGUCAGUUGUCAGACCAGAAUAUAACCUUUAUUAUAAGGAAAGCAUAAAUAAAAAAAGUGUCCUGCCUCAACAGUGCACCCUAGAAAGACUGGAUCAAGCUACUGAUCACUACAGAGAGAAGGAAGAUUCCCUUUUACAGAUCAGAAGAGUAAAUGUCAUUUGCUAAGGCCAACAUGCUCAGUGGCUGAAGUGUCCCUCUGUUGCAGAGCUCUGCAGUUAUGUCAGCGAGCAUAGCAAAAUCUGAAAGAAUUUAUUACACUGAACUCAUUCAAUUUUCAGGCUCUAAAAGAAAAAAUAGCACUGAUCACUGAAGAGAGACUAAAAUGUAGUGGCAUUGCAGCACUGUGACCUGAUAAAGAUCUUGUUGCCAUUUCUAGUGAUGAGUCACCUGCACAGCUACCAUGUUCACUAAGCCUCUGGAGAGAAGCUUGUAGGGUUGUGCACUUGGUCUGGACUUGUCCUGGCCUUCCAGGUCUUUAUUUUGCUCUAACAGCAUAUAUAUAUUUUAAACGUACAGCAUAGCUACAAUUUUGUACAGACAGAAGCAACAAGCUGCUGUUCUGUGUAGAAUGAAAUAGCGAUGCUUCUAAUGUAAUGACACAGCAUGGAGAAACACAGGCCUGGUGUAAUGGCUAAAGCCUCGAAUGGGGACAUGGAAUACAGACACAGAACAAUGGGCAGUCAGAUGGAGGUCUUGGAGCACACCAGAAACAUUUUUAGGGCUAAAAAAAAUGUAUCUAGUUGCUCCACGUACAGCAGCUUUGGAGAUCACAUGGACUUAAGGACCAGUGAAGAAGAAGUAAGGUGUAAAACAUGUUAGUAGAUACCCAAAAAAGACCCAAAGUAAUCCCCAGGAUGAGGAGAAAGGAAGCAUCAGCACCAACUUUAUAUUGCUCCUAGUGAAGGGGGUGGCAGCAAGGAACACAUGUAUAAUUAAUUGAACUGUAUUGUUAUUACUGAGCCUUAAUGUAAUGAUGCUCUUGUCCUUACCUUUUUUUUUUUCCAUCCUGUAAUUGUUAAACCUGAACUAACAGUAACAAUAAUUAUACGACUAAGAUUUCGAUUAUCAUCACCAUAAAUUCUUAGUUUUACACAUUAUGUGCAUGUCUUCUUUUUCCCAUAACAGAGUUUUGAGUGUUAGCAAGUACCUUUUAAAACAUAUUACAAGAAGUUCUGACUCUAUACGGAGGUAUCUUCACCAAAUUCAUACUGGUUCAGUCCAGGGUUGUCACCCUCUUUGAAUCAUCACUGUCUUUAAUGGGAGUGCCAUGCUCACGCUGAACUACUGCUGCUUUUUAGGGUGGCAACUAGCACAGAGGUAAUCUGGAUCAUUGAUUUUCCAUGAAUGAAUUACAAGCUCCUGAUCAAUAUCUUCCAUUUCAUCAAGUAUAUGAAAUCUUGAGUGCACACAGAUAUGUUAUAAAUACCCAAGGAGCCACGAGUUUAUUCCUGUUAUCUCAAAGUGAACAGGACCAAGACUUCAAAAAAAUCUCUCCUGUAAACUACAUCAAUGCCAGACUCAGUAAGUUAGGAAGAGCCUCUCAGGGAACAUCAGUGAGCCUGAGGGUGGGGGUAACACCUAUGGGUGGCUUUGAAUCAUCAGAGGGGGAUGUCUUUGAAAUGAGAAUAUUAUUACAGAUUUUUCAAAUAUACUCACUGUAUGAAAGUCAGAGCCAGAUUCUUCCAGUACUUGUAAAGUAGCCCUCUCUUUGACAUAUGUUUUUGAUUUCCUCCUUGUACCUCACGUCUUCUGUCAUGAAAGUUGCCAUUAUGUGUAGUCACCUGUCAUUCUUCUGCUUCACAAUUUCACAAACGAUUAUUGUGCCCGUGAUAUAAGGUGAAAGAAAAUUCAAAUAGAAUUGCAUAAAGCCUUUCUUCAUUUGUAAAAGAAUCUGGGAUUUCAAUGCCACUCACAAAACCUGGAUCUGAAUUGCUGAGUUUGUUUUGACAGAUCCCAGUGGAGGUGACGACUUACCUCUGCCUCCAAGCUCAUCAGACUCACCAGAGACCCCUGAAAAAUACCACUCCUGUUAAGGGCUGACUUUUAGCCAUGUACCCCUGCUGAAAUCAGUAGGAUCCGUAUUCUACUCAAGCUAGUGAGUUGGCCAUAGCUCCACCUGAUACUUGAAAGCCUCUAAUGAUUAAUGGUCCACGCUAUCUCUGAAUAACCUCUACCACCACUGUCUGAAUUAAAUUAUAUAUAUUUUAUGCGUGCAUAUUUAUAUGCGUGAGGAACUUCGAGUGCUUUUUCUUCCCACAGAAGUUGUCAUCGACAUUCUAUCAAAAUGUCCAGACUUUGUCCCCAACACUUCUGGGCAACUGAAAAAAUUAAUCAUUUUAAAACAUAAGAGUGGGGUUUUUUUUAAUAAAAUGUUUUUGAAAAUCGUGUUGUCUUCCCCCUCUGAAAUCCAACCAAGGCUUUCAUUUUUAUCAGUUGGAACUGUUGGGAAUUUUUUCCAUCACAGCAAAGAUAAUGGCAACAUAGUAAAGUCUGGCUUUCCUCGCGUGUUUUGAGAUGUUUCUGUUGAAGAAUACUCACUGAUUCAUUAAUAUAAAUACUUAAUUAUAAGAAAUAUACAUGAAAUACUUACCAAAUAUAAUAAUGCAUUUGAAACAUACGUAUUCCAUUAUGUUCAUGUAAAUAUAUAUUCCAAAAUCCAGGAGAAUUAUUUUAUCCAUGACAAAUUUAAGCAGUUGAAGGCUGUAACAGCUGCAGUACAUCACAAUUCACCUCACAGUGUAUUUUAU
Molecule: long non-coding RNA, 2919 nt
Organism: Gallus gallus (chicken)
Lineage: Eukaryota; Metazoa; Chordata; Aves; Galliformes; Phasianidae
Source: Ensembl